This is a non-coding RNA of Podarcis lilfordi (Lilford's wall lizard), 79 nucleotides long. NCBI's taxonomy places the organism in Eukaryota, Metazoa, Chordata, Lepidosauria, Squamata, Lacertidae. The record is from the annotation of a GenBank genome assembly.
GACCAUGGCUCAGUGGUAGAGCAUCUGCCUUGUAUACAGUAGGUCCCAGGUUCAAUCCUCAAAAUCUCCAGGGAGGACU